ACCGAUAGUGAACCAGUACCGUGAGGGAAAGGCGAAAAGAACCCCGAUGAGGGGAGUGAAAUAGAACCUGAAACCGUCAAUCUACAAGCAGUGGAACCCCUAUGGUUUACCAGGGGAACCGCGUGCCUUUUGCAUAAUGAGCCGGCUAGUUAUUCUCAGUGGCGAGGCGAAGCCGAAGAGGCGAAGCCGAAGGGAAACCGAGUCUGAAUAGGGCGACAGUCGCUGGGAAUAGACGCGAAACGGGAUGAUCUAUCCUUGACCAGGAUGAAGUCCGGGUGACACCGGAUGGAGGUCCGAACCAGUGUGGGUUGAAAACCGCUUGGAUGAGUUGAGGAUAGGGGUGAAAGGCCAAUCAAAUUCCGUGAUAGCUCGUUCUCCCCGAAAUAGCUUUAGGGCUAGCGUCGGAUGUUUCGUCGUGCAGGUAGAGACCUGAAUGGACUAGGGGGCUUACCAGCUUACUGAAUCCAACCAAUCUUCGAAUGGCACGCCGUGAAGUCCGGCAGUCAGACUGCGGGUGAUAAGAUCCGUAGUCGAGAGGGAAAGAACCCAGAUCGCCAGCUAAGGUCCCAAAAUACAUGCUAAGUGGAAAAGGAUGUGGAUGUGCUUAGACAGCCAGGAGGUUAGCUUAGAAGCAGCUAUCCUUUAAAGAAAGCGUAAUAGCUCACUGGUCAAGCGGGUCUGUGCCGACAAUUCAACGGGGCUAAAGCAUGUUACCGAAGCUGCGAACGUAAGUGGUAGGGGAGCAUUCCCUAGGUCUGUGAAGGUUGACCGUAAGGACAGCUGGAGACAUGGGAAGAGACUCUGUCGGCAUAAGUAGCGUAAAGACGGGCGAGAACCCCGUCCGCCGUAAGACUAAGGUUUCCAACGCAAGGUCAAUCCGCGUUGGGUUAGUCGGGCCCUAAGCUGAGGCCGAAAGGCGUAGGCGAUGGAAAGCUGGUUAAUAUUCCAGCACCAUGAGCAUCUCGUUUGUACGAUGCAGGGACGCAGGAAGGUAGGGACGCAGGGCUAUGGAAUGUUCUGCGAAAGGAUCCAAGGGUGGUGCUUAGGGAAGUCCGGGCGCCGCGAGCCCAAGGUUUCUGACGAAAAGUCCUGAUCCUACACUGCCGAGAAAAGCUGCUAAGGAGAGGUGCUUGUGUCCGUACCGCAAACCGACACAGGUAGUCGAGGAGAGAAUCCUCAGGCGUUUGAGAGAACUCUGCUGAAGGAACUCGGCAAAUUAACCCCGUAACUUCGGGAGAAGGGGUACCCCGGUAGGGUUCAUAGCCCGAGGGGGUGGCACAUAAAUGUCCCAGGCGACUGUUUAACAAAAACACAGGUCUCUGCAAACUCCAAAGAGGAGGUAUAGGGGCUGACGCCUGCCCGGUGCCGGAAGGUCAAGAGGAGCGGUCAGCGCAAGCGAAGCUGCGAAUUUAAGCCCCGGUGAACGGCGGCCGUAACUAUAACGGUCCUAAGGUAGCGAAAUUCCUUGUCGGGUAAGUUCCGACCUGCACGAAUGGCGUAACGAUCUGGAAACUGUCUCCAGCAGAGACUCAGCGAACUUGUAGCACCGGUGAAGAUGCCGGUUACCCGCACUUAGACGGAAAGACCCCGUGCACCUUUACUACACCUUGACAUUGAGGUUGGCGUUGGACUGUGCAGGAUAGGUGGGAGGCUAUGAAACUGGCUCGUUAGGGUCGGUGGAGCCAUCGUUGAGAUACCACCCUGUUUAACGCUGAUCUCUAACUCGCACCCGUGAUCCGGGUGGAAGACAAUGUCAGGCGGGUAGUUUGACUGGGGCGGUCGCCUCCUAAAGCGUAACGGAGGCGUGCGAAGGUUCCCUCAGGCUGUUUGGAAAUCAGCCGCAGAGCGCAAUAGUAUAAGGGAGCUUGACUGCGAGUCAGACACGACGAGCAGGUGCGAAAGCAGGCUAUAGUGAUCCGGUGGUCCCGAAUGGAAGGGCCAUCGCUCAACGGAUAAAAGGUACGCCGGGGAUAACAGGCUGAUCUUGCCCAAGAGUUCAUAUCGACGGCAAGGUUUGGCACCUCGAUGUCGACUCAUCACAUCCUGGGGCUGAAGCAGGUCCCAAGGGUUCGGCUGUUCGCCGAUCAAUAGUGGUACGUGAGUUGGGUUCAGAACGUCGCGAGACAGUUCGGUCCCUAUCUAGUGUGGGCGCAGGAGAUUUGAGAGGACCUGUCCUUAGUACGAGAGGACCGGGAUGGACUGACCUCUGGUGUUCCAGUUGUGCCUCCAGGUGCAAUGCUGGGUAGCUAUGUCGGGAAGUGAGAAGCGCUGAAAGCAUCUAAGCGCGAAACACCCCUCAAGAUGAGAUCU
Molecule: ribosomal RNA, 2310 nt
Filed under: biofilm metagenome
Description: bacterial LSU rRNA
Rfam family: Bacterial large subunit ribosomal RNA
Source: RNAcentral